UAUGGAUUAAUGAUGUGAUUUCAAACUGCGUUAUCUUUCUGCAUUCUCCUUUCAUGGAAUUGAAGAAGGUUCUUUUUACUCUGAUAUGAUGAUAUCCAUU
This is a small nucleolar RNA of Amaranthus tricolor (Joseph's coat), 100 nucleotides long. RefSeq annotates it as small nucleolar RNA snoR27. Lineage: Eukaryota; Viridiplantae; Streptophyta; Magnoliopsida; Caryophyllales; Amaranthaceae. The record is from RefSeq and is a predicted model, not a curated record. The transcript has a single exon.